This 345-nucleotide ribosomal RNA is filed under the name uncultured bacterium. RNAcentral's name for it is "bacterial SSU rRNA". It matches the Rfam family "Bacterial small subunit ribosomal RNA", at positions 28 to 334 of the family's 1533-position model. The record is from RNAcentral.
GAUGAACGCCGGCGGUGUGCCUAAUACAUGCAAGUCGUACGCACUGGCCCAACUGAUUGAUGGUGCUUGCACCUGAUUGACGAUGGAUCACCAGUGAGUGGCGGACGGGUGAGUAACACGUGGGUAACCUGCCCUUCAGUGGGGGAUAACAUCCGGAAACGGGUGCUAGUACCGCAUAGUUUCUUUUUCCGCCUGGAAGAAGAGGGAAAGAUGGCCUUUGCGCUAUCACUGAGGGAUGGACCCGCGGCGUAUUAGUUAGUUGGUGGGGUAAUGGCCUACCAAGACGAUGAUACGUAGCCGACCUGAGAGGGUGAUCGGCCACAUUGGGACUGGGACACGGCCCAA